This is a long non-coding RNA of Mercurialis annua (annual mercury), 1747 nucleotides long. RefSeq lists it as uncharacterized. The record is from RefSeq and is a predicted model, not a curated record. NCBI's taxonomy places the organism in Eukaryota, Viridiplantae, Streptophyta, Magnoliopsida, Malpighiales, Euphorbiaceae. The transcript is spliced from 2 exons.
GUUUUUGUCCAUUUUUGCUUCAAAUGAUGUAAAUGUCUUAGAAACCUCUUCAAACACGAGCAGUGUAUACUCUGGUCUAAGUUCAGUAAAUUCAGGUGUAUUUUGGGGUUUCAACGCUGAUUGAUGCCAGCUCGAGUGAUGGUUUAAAAGCAGAGGAUGAGCAAAAGGAGGCGAGUUUUCAAUUUUCUCAAUUAUCUUUUCAGAGUGAACUUGCUAUGGAAGUAGUAUCUACUUUUUGGCUUAAUUUUUCUUCAUAUUUUUAUUUAAUGUUUGACAAUGUCUAUUAGCUACUCAUUUUCAUGUUACGAGUUAAUAUGAUUGCAUUUUGUGGUUAUGCCAUGAACUAGGCAGAACUAGCAGUCUCAGGAGAUGGUGCAGGGAUAUUAGGAGCUGCUAGCACCAUUAUCAGCACAUUCGCCCUGGUAUUUGUCGCUGAAUGGGGUGACAAUUCAUUUUUCUCCACAGUAGCACUUGCGGCAGCCUGUUCACCUCUUGGUGUCAUUAGCGGAGCCCUGGCUGGUCAUGGCACCGCAACUCUGGUAACUAUUUCCCGAACCAGUAAUUGGUUCUCACAUAAGCAUAUAUAGUUGCAAAUUCUUUUUGAAUUUUAGAUUCAGAAAAAGAUUUUGGCAGAAGCUAUUAUGUGCCAACUAUAUUGCACCAUUCAGUAGAUAAUUAUUGGUUGCACUUGCAGUAUUUUUUUCUUUUUUCACCAACAAAAAGAUAUUUAAUUUCAGAUCUCUUGUUCAUAUGUUCAUAUGUCAAUAAACCUCUGUGAUUGUCUUUCUUCAAAUUGCUGUUUUGGGCGGUUCUUUACUCGGAACAUUCUUACCGGAAAAGGUAGAUUCGAAUUAACACCAUUACAUUACAUACCAGCAAAAUCGCAUUUCUCCACCUUCUCAACUACUUGAAAUAUUUAUGCAAUCUUUUGGCUUUGAUAGAUCAUUUUUCUUAGUCUCUCGAAGAAAACAUUUUGAAAUUAUCUAGGGGCAAUAUAAGUCAGAACUUAAAACUCGAGUAGCUAUCAAGUUUUCCAAGGCAUAGUAUAAUAAUCUGCUUUUCCGCAUAAUUUGUUCCGAUAAUUCAGUACAAACUUAUUGUUUUAACCCACUUGUCUGUUCAAAAGAUAUCCUUAGUUGCCAAAACCAUCUUAGCCUUUUAAGUUUUAAGAAUCACCUAUGUUUCUUGUUUGUAUUUUAAUUCUAGAAAUGCAUACUAUCCAACUAGCAUGAUACAGAAUCCUAAUCUGUACAUCUUUGAUGUCUAUGUGGUGCAAUGAAAGUUGUUGUAAAGAAGCCAAUUCGAAUCCGACUAGUAAUUUUCAUUUCUGAUAUGACAAAAAUUGCCUAGUCGAGCACGAAAAGUCAGCAACAUAUUGAUAUUUGUACCAUAAAAAUGUGCUUUAGUUGGACCAACAUGAUCAAGCAACAGCAUAAAAUAAUAUCCCAUAGUAUAUCUUGAGGUUGUGGGGCUAUGUAUCUUUUUAGUUUAUUUUCAUAGUUUGAUAUGAUUUCUUGUGCAUUAAGGAUACUAAACUCCCCUUCUUGGACAAGUUAUUGCAUACACCGGAGAUGUUCUGUUCCUCGUCUUUGCCGCUAUAACAUUGGUCGCGAUUGUGAGUUAAAGGUUAGGAGAAGAUUCAAAUUCAUAUGUUUAUAGGAUAUAUUGUACGGAAACUUAUCGAAUUUCAAGUUUGCCGCAUUUCUAAAAACUCUGCAAUUCUAUUUAUAAUCAUUCUUUUUAAGAA